UGAAACUGAGACUUUAGGUCUCCUGAAGGAACGUUGAAGACGACGACGUUGAUAGGCCGGGUGUGUAAGCGCAGCGAUGCGUUGAGCUAACCGGUACU
This 98-nucleotide ribosomal RNA is filed under the name Salmonella enterica subsp. enterica. RNAcentral describes it as "partial 23S ribosomal RNA". The record is from RNAcentral. Lineage: Bacteria; Pseudomonadati; Pseudomonadota; Gammaproteobacteria; Enterobacterales; Enterobacteriaceae.